AGUGAACGCUGGCGGUAGGCCUAACACAUGCAAGUCGAACGGCAGCACAGUAAGAGCUUGCUCUUACGGGUGGCGAGUGGCGGGCGGGUGAGGAAUACAUCGGAAUCUACUUUUUCUUGGGGGAUAUCGGAGGGCCACUUACGCUAAUACCGCAUACGACCUACGGGUGAAAUCAGGGGAUCUUCGGACCUUGCGCGAUUGAUUGAGCCGGUGUCGGAUUAGCUAGUUGGCGUGGUAAAGGCCCACCAAGGCGACGAUCCGUAGCUGGUCUGAGAGGAUGAUCAGCCACACUGGAACUGAGACACGGUCCAGACUCCUACGGGAGGCAGCAGUAGGGAAUAUUGGGCAAUGGGCGAAAGCCUGACGCAGCCAUGCCGCGUGGGUGAUGAAGGUCUUCGGGUUGUAAAACCCUGUUGUUGGGGAAGAAAAGCAGUAUGAGAAUAUCCCGAUGUUCUGACGGUACCCAAAGAAUAAGCACCGGCUAACUUCGUG
This 492-nucleotide ribosomal RNA is filed under the name uncultured bacterium. Its description in RNAcentral is "partial 16S ribosomal RNA". It matches the Rfam family "Bacterial small subunit ribosomal RNA", at positions 29 to 507 of the family's 1533-position model. The record is from RNAcentral.